GACGAACGCUGGCGGCGUGCUUAACACAUGCAAGUCGAACGGAAAGGCCCUGCUUUUGUGGGGUACUCGAGUGGCGAACGGGUGAGUAACACGUGAGUAACCUGCCCUUGACUUUGGGAUAACUUCAGGAAACUGGGGCUAAUACCGGAUAGGAGCUCCUGCUGCAUGGUGGGGGUUGGAAAGUUUCGGCGGUUGGGGACGGACUCGCGGCUUAUCAGCUUGUUGGUGGGGUAGUGGCUAACCAAGGCUUUGACGGGUAGCCGGCCUGAGAGGGUGACCGGCCACAUUGGGACUGAGAUACGGCCCGGACUCCUACGGGAGGCAGCAGUGGGGAAUAUGGCACAAUGGGCGGAAGCCGGAGGCAGCACGGCCGCGGGCGGAAUAACGGCCUUCGGGUGGUAAACCGCUUUCGCCGGUGACGAAGCGUGAGUGACGGUAAUGGGUAAAGAAGCACCGGCUAACUACGUG
This 468-nucleotide ribosomal RNA is filed under the name uncultured bacterium. Its description in RNAcentral is "partial 16S ribosomal RNA". It matches the Rfam family "Bacterial small subunit ribosomal RNA", at positions 28 to 507 of the family's 1533-position model. The record is from RNAcentral.